CACGAGGCCUUUAAGCGCAAAAAGAAUACACCUAAAUCACUCCACGUCGUCUCUCUCUCGCGAAACCAUUAUGUGUUUGUUCUCCGUUUCUUCGGCGAUUGAUUUUCUCAACCGAAGUUGAUCAAUCGACACAACUCCAUCUCUGUGCAAUGAAUCCAUCAUUUAUUGAUUCCUUUCGCCUUCCUCCCUCUGCAUCCAUGUCUCUGAUUGAAAGGGCUCUGUGUUAAUGAUUUAUAUUUCGAAGCUAUUAUCUGAAAGAUCUGCAUGUAUUUCUCAUAUCUUCUUCUGUGAAUUAUGUUCUGAUCGACAAUGUGUUAGAUCAAAUCAGUUAUAUUGUUUCCUCCAUUGUGUGUAAAAUAAACCCAGGCUGUGUCCUUUUGUUUUAAGUUUGACUUGAAAUAUGCAAUGUAAUAGAAGCUAUGGUUUUGUAUGUAUGUGCUUCUUAUGUUUCUAUUAGAAACUACUGUUUUUUUCUAAAUCGAUGAAUGGCGUCUUCUUCGAUCUAUGACGGUCUCCUCUUCUUUCUCUUCUUCACUUCAUCAGUUUACGCUCGAUUCAUCGCCGUACGUUCAUCUUCUACCUAUCUCAUCUCGAUGGAAUCGACGGUGGAAGUCUCGGCUCUUGAUCUGUUAUAAAGACGGUGGUCUCGGCUGAAGAGACAGAAGAAGACUGUGAACAGAGUUAUGGGUUCAUGGCGCUUGGUAACAUGUUUUUAAUAUGGUUUAUGGAUUUCUCAUGUUCACGGCAGCGAUGUAUCUAUCUGCCGAAAGUGAGCUUCUUCUCGAAAUCCUUGCCCUUGAAUCGUCGGUGGUUUGUUUCUUUCCAUGCUCGGAGCACACCCUUACGCUAUGCUUAUUAUGGACUUUCUGGAGAUGUAGCAACUGCGCAAAGCCAAGUCUCUGUGCGAAUGAGUUUACUCGCUGGCUCUACCUUUAUGUUUCUCACUAUUAUUUAGAUAACUAGCACAGUUGUUGGCAAGUGUGACAUUCGUUAUACUAUUGUUGUAAACAACCAAGACACUAAAGGCUUCCAUAUAAACGAAAAGAUAAAGUGUUUAUGUCU
This is a long non-coding RNA of Raphanus sativus (radish), 1062 nucleotides long. RefSeq lists it as uncharacterized. The record is from RefSeq and is a predicted model, not a curated record. NCBI's taxonomy places the organism in Eukaryota, Viridiplantae, Streptophyta, Magnoliopsida, Brassicales, Brassicaceae. The transcript has 2 exons.